GGCGUAAGCCAGGUCGGUUUCUAUCUUUAAUAAAAUAAAAUAUUUUAGUACGAAAGGACCAAAUAUUUAAUAUAUUUAUAUUUUAUUUAUUGAAUAUUAUUAAUUUA
Molecule: ribosomal RNA, 107 nt
Filed under: Calosoma sayi
Lineage: Eukaryota; Metazoa; Arthropoda; Insecta; Coleoptera; Carabidae
Description: partial 16S ribosomal RNA
Source: RNAcentral